Molecule: long non-coding RNA, 664 nt
Organism: Micropterus salmoides (largemouth bass)
Lineage: Eukaryota; Metazoa; Chordata; Actinopteri; Centrarchiformes; Centrarchidae
Exons: 3
Source: RefSeq, a predicted model, not a curated record
CGUUUUACACGGACUCUUCGGUUGUAGCUCUCAGUGCGGGGAGUGCAGCUGUACGAGAGAACAAUUGCUAGAGCCUCUACUGGGGGAUCAUCUGUCUGUUUGCUGACCUGGAAGCUGCUUCAUCAUUAAUAUCUGGCCGGAGCUGAGCCAUAUUGUGGGACCAAGACCAACUUCAGGAUUACAACCUGUAAAACUGACAAUCACAACUGCUGUCACCACUGCCACUGCCCACCACCACCCUCCUCACCUGGCUUCCCCCACCACCUCCACCCUUCACCAACAUUACUUCUCCAAUGCUGACAUCCCCACCCAGAACACCUACAGUGAGAAAUUGUUUUGAGAAGAUUCUUUUGUGUAUUGCAAUGUGUCUUGACAGGAUAACUGUGGCUUGGUUGAAUGUUCGGCCAAUUUUAUGGAGUUUUGAUUAGUUGUUACAUGUUAUUUAUUCUGAUGAUUUUUAUGGAGAAUGUCAUGUUUCAGCAUGUGGUCAAGAUGGUUAAUGACCCAUAUGUUUUACUAGUUUCAGUAUUUUCUUAUCUUCAACCUGGCUUUUCUAGUCUCUGUGGCUAGUUAUAAGGAAAUAUUUUCAGAGAACCCCAUUUUAUACAUUGAUUACAGACUGCCUAUGACAUUGUUAGACUAUCAGUUUCAAAACAGAUCUCUU